RNAcentral lists this ribosomal RNA (504 nucleotides) under uncultured bacterium. RNAcentral describes it as "partial 16S ribosomal RNA". It matches the Rfam family "Bacterial small subunit ribosomal RNA", at positions 29 to 507 of the family's 1533-position model. The record is from RNAcentral.
ACGGACGCUGGCGGCGUGCCUAAUACAUGCAAGUAGAACGCACAGUUUAUACCGUAGCUUGCUACACCAUAGACUGUGAGUUGCGAACGGGUGAGUAACGCGUAGGUAACCUGCCUGGUAGCGGGGGAUAACUAUUGGAAACGAUAGCUAAUACCGCAUAAUAUUAAUUAUUGCAUGAUAAUUAAUUGAAAGGUGCAAUUGCACCACUACCAGAUGGACCUGCGUUGUAUUAGCUAGUAGGUGAGGUAACGGCUCACCUAGGCGACGAUACAUAGCCGACCUGAGAGGGUGAUCGGCCACACUGGGACUGAGACACGGCCCAGACUCCUACGGGAGGCAGCAGUAGGGAAUCUUCGGCAAUGGACGAAAGUCUGACCGAGCAACGCCGCGUGAGUGAAGAAGGUUUUCGGAUCGUAAAGCUCUGUUGUAAGAGAAGAACGGGUGUGAGAGUGGAAAGUUCACACUGUGACGGUAUCUUACCAGAAAGGGACGGCUAACUACGUG